This 1048-nucleotide long non-coding RNA is filed under the name Physcomitrium patens. RNAcentral describes it as "long non-coding RNA (PPAT_LNC002347)". Lineage: Eukaryota; Viridiplantae; Streptophyta; Bryopsida; Funariales; Funariaceae. The record is from RNAcentral.
AACUCAAUAGUUCCCAUUUUAGAAAGCCCGGGUAUAGGAUCUAUAUCUACGCACCGCAUGCCGGCAGACGGUUACAGGGGGGCUGGGGCCCAGACAACAAAAGUGGUCAACAGUCGUACUGUGGGGGCCACAAAACCGUGUGACUAUCCCGCGCCGUGGUAGUGGUGACCCGCUGCUAGCGGCGACAGGUGGCACAUGAGCGCUCAUAGGCAGGGCAGUCUAUUCCCGCGCACACACAUCUCACGGGUUCCUACCCCCGUGGUCGGUGCCUCUUUACCCUAUUCCCACGCCUCCAUCUCUCCCAGGACAAAAGCUUCUCAUUCUUGUUCUAAUGAAGUUAUGAUUUUAAUUAUUCCAACUUGUCACAAAAUGGAGCAUCUGAAUCAACAUUUAGCUUAGCCACUAUUUUUGGCUAUAUGAGGGGAAAGCGUCAUUUUUUUCCUGUGCCAGUUCAUUUGUGUGUUCAUUGUUUGUAGGUUUUUUGUGGUGAUUUAUGUUUAGGUUUUAGCAGAUAAUCAAUUCUAUUUGGACUCAAUGAAUCUAUUCAAAUGAAGCAAGUACAUGGUGGUUUGUGGUGAUGUUAAGUGUUGGAUUUAUAACUGGAAAACUAUUAAACUUUGGGGCAUUAUCAAACUUUGUGGUCAUUGGGUUAAAAAUAUUCUAUUCAUAGCAAAAAUCCACCCCUGCUUAAACAAAAUCUUGUUUCCUAGUGGGCCAAUGAAUUAAUUGUUUCCUGUUACUAUUUUCCUUUCUCUUUCUUGAUUAUCUGAAUUCAUGAAAAUAACUUCAUAAAUUUUGGUUGUGGGUACAUUGCAGGAAACUUCAAAGUCAGAGCAAUUUAAUUGUAUAUGCAAGUUUGUAUAAACUAAUGUAUUUAAUUUCCAUGACAUCUCAUCAAGAUGAAUGUUUGGUGUAGCCAACCAUGGCUAAUGAUAGGUGCUGCACUACCGGAAACUGGAUAGUAUUCCAUGACCAUAGUUUUCUAAUAAAGAGUGCAAAAAAAUGUGUCUUUGGAUGAGAAUGUGUCAUGACUGUUAUAUAUAGUCUC